This 289-nucleotide ribosomal RNA is filed under the name Ralstonia solanacearum. Its description in RNAcentral is "partial 16S ribosomal RNA". It matches the Rfam family "Bacterial small subunit ribosomal RNA", at positions 70 to 358 of the family's 1533-position model. The record is from RNAcentral. Lineage: Bacteria; Pseudomonadati; Pseudomonadota; Betaproteobacteria; Burkholderiales; Burkholderiaceae.
UGGGGGUAGCCUUGCUACCUGCCGGCGAGUGGCGAACGGGUGAGUAAUACAUCGGAACGUGCCCUGUAGUGGGGGAUAACUAGUCGAAAGACUAGCUAAUACCGCAUACGACCUGAGGGUGAAAGUGGGGGACCGCAAGGCCUCAUGCUAUAGGAGCGGCCGAUGUCUGAUUAGCUAGUUGGUGGGGUAAAGGCCCACCAAGGCGACGAUCAGUAGCUGGUCUGAGAGGACGAUCAGCCACACUGGGACUGAGACACGGCCCAGACUCCUACGGGAGGCAGCAGUGGGA